This is a long non-coding RNA of Globicephala melas (long-finned pilot whale), 1775 nucleotides long. RefSeq lists it as uncharacterized. The record is from RefSeq and is a predicted model, not a curated record. Lineage: Eukaryota; Metazoa; Chordata; Mammalia; Artiodactyla; Delphinidae.
AGCGUGACCGCCUUUUCCCUUCCAGCUGCGGGGGACGGCGCAGUAGAGCACCGCCGCCCGGCCAUUUAUCUAAAAGGGAGUCAGGGCCACAGGCGGAAUCAACUGGAAUCCUCACUUUCUCAAGCCACCGAUCGCCCAGCCCGCAGCCUUACCGGGCGCGACGGGCACCCCUCCCCCUGGCAGCGCAUUUCCGCCGCCAGCGACCCGACGCCCCCCGCCCCCGCCACAGGCCCAGUGCCCUUGCAGGGACAGAUUGCACACCCAUAGCUUAGGUCUUCAGUACUCUGCGAAUAACGUGAUGAUAUAAAGGUUGGAUUGAGAAAGGAAGGAAAAAAAAAACAAAAACAUUUUGGGUCAGUUCACGAGCGGCCGCAGUGAUGGGGAAGGGGUCUGGGGGCUUCCUCUCCGACUUUGCGGGCAGCGUCAUCUGGCUCAAGAACGCACGCUGGUCCGUGGGAGGCACAGAGUCACUCUGGUCACCACAGGUAUCAGGACGGGUAAGGCGCUGUGAGGGCGUGACAGAGUCCUGAGACCUUCCUUCCGGGGCCUCACUGGUUCUUGUGCUUCCGGUUCUGGAGGGCAGACAUCUGGAAUGAGGCUCACGGGGCUACAUCAAGGUGUCGGCUGGGCUGCUUCCUUCUGAGGGCUCCAAGGGAGAAUCCACUCCACGCCUCUCCCAGCUUCCAGAGGCUGCUGGCAUUCCUUGGCUUGUGGCCCCUUGUUUGCCUCACUACGACCUCUUGCUUCCUUCUCGUCUGCUACUGCUGAAUCUGAUCUCCUGCCUCCUCAUGACACGUGAUUACAUUGGACCCACGCAGAUAACCCAGAAUAAUCUCAAAAUCCUCAAUUUCAUCCAAUCUUCCAAGUCUUUUUUGCUGUACAAGCUUUCUUGAGACCUUGCCAAAGGCCAUGUGAAUCCGCCAAUGCCAGCUAAGCGGGGGGAUGGGAGAUCCCACGGAGCAGAGCUCAGCCAUCCCAUCUGAGGCCCCAGACACAGGAGGAAGCCAAGGACCCAGCUUCUGCCAGCUUUGGAGAGCCGACCGUGCAUGUCGUUUCAACUCUGCGUUCAGUGACGUCACCUUGGAGCUUGAAGUCAGCCAUGGUGGGAAUAUUGCCACCAUGAGAAUCAGCAAACAUUACCAAGUGGGACUGUUUUCCCCUGGGGAGCCCGUAAAUGAACUGCUGCCAGGGCUCCGGGUGCCUGGGAAUUACGGCUCCUGUCGUCCUGAGUACAGACACUGGGUCUCAGCAGGAAAUGUCAGGGUCACCUUCCCACUGCUGAGCAGCAGAUGCUCUAAGUUGGGGGACUGACAAAAGGGGGGCAAAAUGAAAGCAGGGCCGAGAUAUGUGCUGCCAGAUAAGAGCCAGCUUAUGGGCUGAAACAUGGGUGAGGUAGAGCGUGCAUGAGACAAGGCCGGAGACAAGUGGGAUGGAAAACACAGGGCACGUAGUAGAGAUGCAUCUUUUGGUUAGAAGGUUACAGGAGAGUUUUAAGUAGAAGAGGGAUAUUUUGGAUUUAUGUUUGAUAAAGACACCUCUGGGCGUCUGGUCUGUGGAGAACAGCCUACACAGGUCAGGGAGGGAGGUGAAGGGUACCAAGGGUGGAAGCCUAGAGGCCAGUGAAGAUGCCAUCUGGGGCUGGGGCAGAGGGGGCCGUGGCAUGGCUUCUGACCUUUGCCCUGACACCUCCACCCCCAUGCUCAUGCUCCAGGAAUCCUUAGCCCCUGCCGUAGGGCAAGACCAGAUGAAGAUGCCCCACCUCUUCCCCUCGGGUU